RNAcentral lists this transfer RNA (72 nucleotides) under Caudoviricetes sp. RNAcentral describes it as "tRNA-Gln". It matches the Rfam family "tRNA". From Rfam's summary of the family: Transfer RNA (tRNA) molecules are approximately 80 nucleotides in length. Their secondary structure includes four short double-helical elements and three loops (D, anti-codon, and T loops). The record is from RNAcentral. Lineage: Duplodnaviria; Heunggongvirae; Uroviricota; Caudoviricetes.
UGACUUAUGGUGUAAUGGGUAACACGUCAGAUUUUGGUUCUGAAAUUUUGGGUUCGAGUCCCGAUAGGUCAA